This 503-nucleotide ribosomal RNA is filed under the name uncultured bacterium. RNAcentral describes it as "partial 16S ribosomal RNA". It matches the Rfam family "Bacterial small subunit ribosomal RNA", at positions 29 to 523 of the family's 1533-position model. The record is from RNAcentral.
AACGAACGCUGGCGGCGUGUCUUAAGCAUGCAAGUCGAGUGGCAAGGGCAGCAACGCCCCUAGAACGGCGGACUGGUGAGUAACGCGUGGGUGAUCUGCCCUUGGGUUGGGGAUAGCCAUUAGAAAUAGUGGGUAAUACCGAAUACGUUCGCGAGGCUGUGGCCUUGCGAGGAAAGGAGCUUCGGCGCCGCCCGACGAUGAGCCCGCGUCCCAUUAGCUAGUUGGUGAGGUAACGGCCCACCAAGGCGAUGAUGGGUAGGUGGCCUGAGAGGGUGUACGCCCACACUGGGACUGAGAUACGGCCCAGACUCCUACGGGGGGCAGCAGCUAAGAAUAUUCCGCAAUGGACGAAAGUCUGACGGAGCGACGCCGCGUGGAUGAUGAAGGCCGAAAGGUUGUAAAAUCCUUUUGUCGGGGAAGAAUAAGCCUGGGAGGGAAUGCCCGGGUGAUGACAUGAACCGGCGAAUAAGCCCCGGCUAACUACGUGCCAGCCGCCGCAGUAA